AGUGAAGCCAUCACCACCGGCCUCAUGCAUCACUGUCCUGUGGACCUGUGAGUAGUUCCAACACUCCCAUGUGGUCAGCCUGCUUUACUUGAAACUCAGUUACAUAAACCUGUUGAAGAUAAUGCUGCUAUGUGAUUGCUGACAACUUUCCAAAUGCCCUGUUUGCUGCUCAAGCUGAUGUUCCCAAGGAGAGAGUUGCAAGUAUUGGAGGAAGCACCACCCUCAGGGAAUGAGCUUGCAAUCUGCUUCUCUGUGGCCCUGGGUCAGUCCCAAUAGAUCAGGCCACCUGGGAGAGCCACUUCUGUCCACCCAUCCCUGAGGGGAUGCUUCUCCGUCCCUUCUGCAUGCCUCCUGCACUCGGUGGCUGUGCUCUGGGAGAGUUACCCUGCGAUCUACACUUUCGGCUGCACCACCCUCUGCAGUGAAGAGUGUCUAAGGUUUCCCUACUGCACAGAACACUCGAGAUCCGUGGUGUGACAGGAAGAGCUUUCCAGCUGCGUGGCCUUGGGCCGUCUUACUCUCUGGGCCUCAGUUUCCUCAUUGGUAGCAUGGAGCACUGAAAGCUACGAACAGGAGCUGUGAGGGUGAAUGGAGGAUUCAUGCCAGAGCCUGGUGGGAUGCCCCUGCAGAGCAGAUGCUCAGGAAACCCUCCUGCCAGCUCCUGGGGAGCACGGGAGGCGCUGGCUCCUUAGUUCUCUAUGGAAGGACGGUUCUGCACCAGAUAUUAUUAUUAGAGUCUCUUAUUUGGAAUUCUGGACUUGUGUGCUCGACAGGGGCCUCAAGUCCCCAGUGUCGCUCAAUAGUGACAAACCCAAAUAAAAGAUCCUGGCAAAUGAUUAGCAGCCUUUCCUGCUGCUGUGCUCAUAAACGCUGUUGCUAUUUUUGGGCCAGCAUUGUUCAACCUGGAUUUAGUUCUCCUUUGCUGUCUAUUUUGGCUCUGACCUGCUCUGAAAGGGCAGGCUCCACGCCGGGUGUCACGCCCAAUGGCUUCUCCACGGUCUUUGUCCAAAUGGACUCAGUGAGGAUAUCACCAGCGGAAAAGUAAAAGAUGAGAGGACUUGAAAAAAAUAUCUUCCAUUCAGAAUCUUUUUAAAAAUAUACUUUCAAACAAAGAGGUAUUAUAGAAAGCAUUUUGCUUUUUCGUUUAAAGCUAAAGAAAAUCAGAGUCACCUAGAAAUGUGAGUUACUGGAGGAAGAGAGGAAUGGUUAAGAUCAUUCUACAGUGUCUAUAUGUACUUAUAUAUCCCAGUGUCUGUGUGUACAUGCGUGUAUGUCUGUGUAUGUAUGUGUGUCUGUGUGUGUCUCUCCAUGUGUCUGCCUAUAUAUCUGCAUGUGUAUACGUGUGUAUGUAUAUCUGUGUAUGUACAUGUGUAUAUAUGUGUAUGUCCGUGUGUGUCUCUGUGUGUCUCUGUGUGCAUGUAUGUGUAUAUGUGUGUCUGUAUGUAUACAUGUAUGUCUGUGAGUCUCUUUGUGUGUCUGCCUGCAUAUCUGCGUGUGUGUGUGUAUGCUCUGUGUGCGUUUGUAUAUGUCUGUGUGUCUGUGUAUACACAUGUGUGUCUGUGAGUCUCUCUGUAGGCGUCUCUCUGUGUGUCUGCCUGCAUAUCUGCAUGUGUGUAUGUGUGUAUGGUCUGUGUGUGUUUGUAUGUGUGUCUUUGUGUCUAUGUGUAUUCAUGUGUUUCUGUGGGUCUCUCUGUGUGUCUGCUGCAUAUGUGCAUGUAUGCAUGUGUGUAUGGUCUGUGUGUGUUUGUAUGUGUGUCUGUGUGUCUAUGUGUACGCAUGUGUGUCUGUGAGUCUCUCUGUGUGUCUGCCUGCAUAUCUACAUGUGUGUAUGUGUGUAUGGUCUGUGUGUGUUUGUAUGUGUAUCUGUCUGUGUCUGUGUGUAAUUCUUUAUCUCCUCCGUUUUCUGAGCAGGCUGGUCCUUUGAAUCCCAGGAGAUAAUUUUUCCUUAUACUUACUAGAGGAGUCUGUCAAUACAGUAGAAGCACAAUGUAAAUGGGGGAUUAACACCUUGAGAUAAUUUGAAUCCACUGUCAUUCACCCUUUCUGAAAUGCACAAGCUUGCAGGCACCUACCCUCCUGCUACAGGACAGAAAAAAACACGGUGGUUUUAUUUCCAUUUCUUAUCACACGGUGUCCACUGCCUGAGCUGCACAGGGAGGCAUUUUGUCAUUUCACUGUAGGGGUCUCCUGUGGCCCCGAAUCUCAUGUGUUUGUGUCCCUAGGAGCUGCAGCCCCAACCAUGUCAUGAAGAGGGGUCGGCACGGGGGCUUCUGGCUGUGGCACACACACGUGUUAACCUAUAAGGCUCACUUCCUGCCCACAAGGGUCAGAGUGUUGUUUUUUUUUUUUUGAGACGGAGUCUCCCUCUGUCGCCCAGGCUGGAGUGCAGUGGCGCGAUCUGGGAUCACUGCAAGCUCCGCCUGCCGGGUUCACGCCAUUCUCCUGCCUCAGCCUCCUGAGUAGCUGGGACUACAGGAAUCUGCCACCACACUCGGCUAAUUUUUUGUAUUUUUAGUAGCGACGGGGUUUCACCGUGUUAGCCAGGAUGGUCUCAAUCUCCUGACCUUGUGAUCCACCCGCCUCGGCCUCCCAAAGUGCUGGGAUUACAGGCGUGAGCCACUGCGCCCUGCUGAGAGUUUUUUAUUGAUCAUUCAGUGAUUCUGAAGGGAAGACAGUUCUACUCUCACUGCCAGUGACAGCACAGCCCAGGAGAGCAAGGGCAGGCUCCUCUCCAGGUGUGGCUGCUCUCCAUGGCCUGGGUCAUAGUCUGGAGAUGACUGAAGAGUUAGUCUUGGGGCUGUUGCUUGUGAGAACUGGAGAGGUGUGUGUCAUUAUCUGAAUCGGCCAGGCCCACGCCAGGGUGAACUGGGCUUACAGGAAAUGCAGUCACAGAACAUUCGAGGAUCCUGAAUGCAAACACUCUUGGAUGAUCCAGAAGUAGUUCAAUCCACAGGGAAUCCCAAGAAGCUGGAUGUUAUCUGUACCCUUUUCCCACUGGCAUCUGGAAGAACCUAAGUUAAGGAAAGAUGUUUGCUGCACUCUCUUGUUUUUUUAUGUUUAUGAUGCUAACCCAUGCUAGUCACUAUUGCUUUGAGCUAUGGUCUGAGUGUCUACGUCCCCUUCAAAAUUCUUAUGUUGAAAUCCUAACCCCCAAGGUGAUCGUAUUAGGAGGUGGGGCCUUUGGAAGGUGAGGAGGACUUGAGGGUGGAGUGCUCAUGAAUGGAAUAAGUGCCCUCCUAAAACAUUGGUCGGGGGACAUCCUCACCCUUUCCACCAUAUAAGGACACAGUGAGAAGGAGCCAUCUAUGAGCCAGAAAUUCAGCCCUCACCACACAGAACCUGCCAGUGUCUUCAUCGUGGACUCCUUAGCCUCUGGAACUGGGAUAAAUAAAUUUCUGCUGCCUAUCAGCUACCUGGUUUAUGAUAUUUUGUUAUAGCAGACCAAAGACACCAUAUGACACAUUAUCCCUUAAAUUUAGUAACUUAAGGCAACAAUUCUAUUUUUUCUUAUGAUUUGGUGGGUCAGAACCAUGGGAAAGACUCAAGUGCACGGUUCUUAGCUGGGGUCUGUCAUGCAAUUGCAGUGAGGUAUCAGCCAGGGCGGUUGUCAUCUGAAGGCUGGACUGUGGCUCAGACACAGGCUGGGCAUCUGAUGCAGCCUGUUGGCUGGAGCUCAGCUGGGGCUGUUGACUGGAGCACCUACAGCAACCUCCCAGAAAGGUGCUCUCAAGGUCAUUGGACUUAUUACAUGCUGCUAGCUUUUGCCCGAGCAAACAUCUCAAGCAUAUCAUGUAUGGGAUAAGGGCUGCACAGCUUUUUCUGACCUCCUAUUGGAAGACCUACAGUGUCACAUCCAACAUAAUCUGUUGGUUGAAGCAGACACACAUUCAGCCAGGGUCAAAGCAAAAAAAAAAAAAAAAAAAAAAAACAUAGAUCCCUGCGUCCCAGUGGGAGAAUUAUCAAAUAAUUUGGUACUUUUUAAGUAGUUGUGAAGAAUAUUAUGUUAUGCAC
Molecule: long non-coding RNA, 4011 nt
Filed under: Homo sapiens (human)
Lineage: Eukaryota; Metazoa; Chordata; Mammalia; Primates; Hominidae
Description: non-protein coding lnc-PFKP-38:5
Source: RNAcentral